RNAcentral lists this small RNA (86 nucleotides) under Klebsiella pneumoniae. RNAcentral describes it as "partial RtT sRNA". It matches the Rfam family "RtT RNA", at positions 46 to 130 of the family's 130-position model. Rfam says of the family: This family represents a bacterial cis-regulatory element known as RtT RNA. The exact function of RtT is unknown although it is thought that it may be involved in changing the cellular response in relation to amino acid starvation. The record is from RNAcentral. Lineage: Bacteria; Pseudomonadati; Pseudomonadota; Gammaproteobacteria; Enterobacterales; Enterobacteriaceae.
ACUCGAGCGAAGCGAGAGAACGUUGCCGCAGGCAAUGGCCCGAAGGCGAGGCGCUUUAGCGCCGAGUAAUCCUUCCCCCACCACUU